Molecule: transfer RNA, 74 nt
Filed under: Fabiana bryoides
Lineage: Eukaryota; Viridiplantae; Streptophyta; Magnoliopsida; Solanales; Solanaceae
Description: partial tRNA-Leu
Source: RNAcentral
CGAAAUCGGUAGACGCUACGGACUUAAAAUCCGUCGACUUUAAAAAUCGUGAGGGUUCAAGUGCCUCUAUCCCC